Molecule: unclassified non-coding RNA, 154 nt
Filed under: soil metagenome
Description: partial internal transcribed spacer 1
Source: RNAcentral
GUGAUUAAAUCGAGCGUGUCUUCAUUGACCGCUCACCCUUCUCACCAUCCACAUACACCUGUGCACUGUUUAGCCUGAGUCCGGUUUUCCGGUCCAGGUUAUCAUUUCAUACAAACUCUAGUCUUAUGAAUGUAAACGUUUUAAUAACAUAAUA